GUAAGGAAUAUUGGACAAUGGACGCAAGUCUGAUCCAGCCAUGCCGCGUGAAGGAUUAAGGUCCUCUGGAUUGUAAACUUCUUUUAUAAGGGACGAAAAAAGGCUUUUCUAAGUCGUCUGACGGUACCUUAUGAAUAAGCACCGGCUAACUCCGUGCCAGCAGCCGCAGUAAUACGGAGGGUGCAAGCGUUAUCCGGAUUCACUGGGUUUAAAGGGUGCGUAGGCGGGCAGGUAAGUCAGUGGUGAAAUCCUAGAGCUUAACUCUAGAACUGCCAUUGAUACUAUCUGUCUUGAAUAUUGUGGAGGUAAGCGGAAUAUGUCAUGUAGCGGUGAAAUGCUUAGAUAUGACAUAGAACACCUAUUGCGAAGGCAGCUUACUACGCAUAUAUUGACGCUGAGGCACGAAAGCGUGGGGAUCAAACAGGAUUAGAAACCCCGGUAGUCC
RNAcentral lists this ribosomal RNA (445 nucleotides) under uncultured bacterium. RNAcentral's name for it is "partial 16S ribosomal RNA". It matches the Rfam family "Bacterial small subunit ribosomal RNA", at positions 354 to 796 of the family's 1533-position model. The record is from RNAcentral.